RNAcentral lists this ribosomal RNA (253 nucleotides) under uncultured bacterium. RNAcentral describes it as "partial 16S ribosomal RNA". It matches the Rfam family "Bacterial small subunit ribosomal RNA", at positions 524 to 776 of the family's 1533-position model. The record is from RNAcentral.
UACAGAGGGUGCGAGCGUUAAUCGGAAUUACUGGGCGUAAAGCGUGCGUAGGCGGUUAUGUAAGUCAGGUGUGAAAUCCCCAGGCUCAACCUGGGAACUGCGUCUGAUACUGGAUGGCUUGAAUCCGGGAGAGGGAUGCAGAAUUCCAGGUGUAGCGGUGAAAUGCGUAGAUAUCUGGAGGAAUACCGGUGGCGAAGGCGGCAUCCUGGACCGGCAUUGACGCUGAGGAGCGAAAGCCAGGGGAGCAAACGGG